RNAcentral lists this transfer RNA (74 nucleotides) under Rhodobacteraceae bacterium HTCC2083. RNAcentral's name for it is "tRNA-Cys". It matches the Rfam family "tRNA". From Rfam's summary of the family: Transfer RNA (tRNA) molecules are approximately 80 nucleotides in length. Their secondary structure includes four short double-helical elements and three loops (D, anti-codon, and T loops). The record is from RNAcentral. Lineage: Bacteria; Pseudomonadati; Pseudomonadota; Alphaproteobacteria; Rhodobacterales; Paracoccaceae. RNAcentral also lists the same sequence under 4 other names.
GGCGAGUUGGUAGAGUGGUUAUGCAGCGGAUUGCAAAUCCGCGUACACCGGUUCGAUUCCGGUACUCGCCUCCA